CAAUGGCGUAAACANAGGGAAGCGAACCCGCAGGGGGAGCGAAUCCCAAAAAUAAACGUCCCAGUUCGGAUUGUAGUCUGCAACCCGACUACAUGAAGCCGGAAUCGCUAGUAAUCGCGGAUCAGAAUGCCGCGGUGAAUACGUUCCCGGGUCUUGUACACACCGCCCGUCACACCAUGGGAGUCGGAAAUGCCCGAAGCCGGUGGCCUAACCGAUAAGGGAGGAGCCGUCGAAGGCAGGUCUGAUGACUGGGGUGAAGUCGUAACAAGGUAGC
This 274-nucleotide ribosomal RNA is filed under the name uncultured bacterium. RNAcentral describes it as "partial 16S ribosomal RNA". It matches the Rfam family "Bacterial small subunit ribosomal RNA", at positions 1228 to 1500 of the family's 1533-position model. The record is from RNAcentral.